This 1930-nucleotide long non-coding RNA is filed under the name Homo sapiens (human). RNAcentral's name for it is "non-protein coding lnc-CREG1-3:3". The record is from RNAcentral. Lineage: Eukaryota; Metazoa; Chordata; Mammalia; Primates; Hominidae.
ACUGUCCCUCCCAGGGCAGGACUCAAGAGCGGGAGCCACGACUCCAUGUGCCCAAACAUGGGGAUGGGCAGCCACCGGGCCCCUCUGUCUCGCGAAGUUUCUCAGGACCCUGGGCUUUGCCACGGUCUCAGUCCUUCUCAACGUCUCCCUCCCUUAAUGCGCCUUCUUUCUUUUUCCUGUCCCUUCAAGAAUUAGAGUGGUCCUUUAAUUCUUUUUGUUUCCUCUCUUUUCGAUUUCCUUCUUUUGUGUCCAUCCUUCCUGCUUUCCUUCUUCCUCUCCCUCUUUUUAAAAUUGCAUUACUGUCAUACCUGGUUUCCCUGCAGUUCUUGGGUGGAGUUCGAGGACCCUCCCUGGUGGAAGGCGUUUGUGUUCUACCAAAAGAGGAGCCCUUCUGACCGAGGCUUCAGAGCUCAGCGUGGCGCCGACGGGACCACCUUUCCCUUCUCACCUCUUUUCCUCUCCACCUUCCAGGAAACCACUAUCUAUCCAUCUAUCCAUCUAUCUUCUGUAUACGAGUAGAAGGAGGAGGAGGAGGAGGAAAAUCAGGAAUCCACGCAAAGUUUUCCAAGCUCCCUGAAGUGGUUGGGCACAUCAGUAGCUGAGAGACUCCUCUGACCAUGGCCAGCCUCAGGAAGUGAGUGUCAACAGCCUUGCAGAUGGGAACUCAACUCCUGGGUACCCAUGCCUGAAAAGACAAUUUCGCUCUUGAUGCCCAGGCUGGAGUGUAAUGGCAUGAUCUCAGCUCACUGCAACCUCCGCCUCCCAGAUUCAAGCAAUUCUUCUGCCUCAGCCUCCCAAGCUGGGAUUACAGGCAUGUGUCACCAUGCACCUCUUGCACCCGGUCUCCUUCUCAGAGUCUGAUGCCCAGGAAAUCUGAUCUGUGGCAGUGUGGGGAUUCAUCCAAGAAUGAAGACUGUUUGUAAAUUGAGAUUUGAGGGUGGAAUCAUCCACUGGCCAGCCAGCUGUGAGGACCAGCCGCUGGUGGUUGGGGGUGCACAAAUGGCCUCAGGCCCGCUGUACUGCUGCAACUAUUAAAACUCCACCAUGGUGUACAUGGAAGGAUGGCUGGUAGAAUAGGACUUACUGGCAAGUAGUGUAUCAGGCAUUUGAGAGAUACAGGGCAAUAGUCAUUAUAAAGACAAUAGAACUAGAUAGUUGUUGUUAGGAAAUAAUCUAUUCUUUGGGGCAAGACCGUAAAAGGCUGAGGGUAAUUAAUCACCUCUUACAGGCUAAGUCAGAAUUCCAGAGGACAUCCUCAGAAGCAUAAAAAGAUACCCUCAUCUCCUAUCAUUGGAGUGCAGAAAAACCUGAGGAAUGAAUUUAGGAUUUAAUUAUGGAAGCACAGAGUUUCAGAGAAGGUUGAGUUCUGAGUUCCACAGACCAGCUCUGCCAAGGUCAGAGCCCUAAUUAUGAAGGAAUGGAACUGCAAUACAUGGGAUGUGGACAACUGAUGUAGGAUUUUUUCUUCUUGGUCACUUUGCAAGCCUGGGACCUCCAGCCAGUGAUGUCCGCCCAGGGCUUGCUUGGCUAUGCUGGUGUGCCUCAGCUUGUCUGUGUUAUAGCUUGUACCCACAUUUGGUGAUUCUCAAGCUCUUGUACCACACCCAAGAAGAUUGAGGAUAUGCUGCACAUUGAAGGGUGAGGAGGGCAGAGAAGAAUUUUACUGAGCGACCGAACAGCUCUCAGUGGAGAGGGGACACAGGGGAUGGUCCCUCACCCCCACAGUCAGGUGGUUCUCUCCUCCUUGCGUAGGGGCCUGGAGGAGGUCACACCCACGAGCCAGAGCUGACGUUCUUUUUUAGAGACAAAACUUUGCCUCCUUAACCAAUUGCAAAUGAGAAAAUCUUUGAGUCUGCCACCAACCUAUGGGCUCCUGCUUUGAGAUAGCCCACUUUUUUAGGUCAAACCAAUGUAUAGCCUCCGUGUUUUG